UAGAGUUUGAUCAUGGCUCAGAACGAACGCUGGCGGCAUGCCUAAUACAUGCAAGUCGAACGAUCACUUCGGUGAUAGUGGCGCACGGGUGCGUAACGCGUGGGAAUCUGCCCUUGGGUUCGGAAUAACAUCUGGAAACGGAUGCUAAUACCGGAUGAUGACGUAAGUCCAAAGAUUUAUCGCCCAGGGAUGAGCCCGCGUAGGAUUAGCUAGUUGGUGGGGUAAAGGCCUACCAAGGCGACGAUCCUUAGCUGGUCUGAGAGGAUGAUCAGCCACACUGGGACUGAGACACGGCCCAGACUCCUACGGGGGGCAGCA
RNAcentral lists this ribosomal RNA (318 nucleotides) under uncultured Sphingomonas sp. FR048. RNAcentral describes it as "bacterial SSU rRNA". It matches the Rfam family "Bacterial small subunit ribosomal RNA", at positions 1 to 353 of the family's 1533-position model. Lineage: Bacteria; Pseudomonadati; Pseudomonadota; Alphaproteobacteria; Sphingomonadales; Sphingomonadaceae. The record is from RNAcentral.